Molecule: ribosomal RNA, 206 nt
Filed under: uncultured bacterium
Lineage: Bacteria
Description: partial 16S ribosomal RNA
Rfam family: Bacterial small subunit ribosomal RNA
Source: RNAcentral
AGCGCAGGCGGUUUGAUAAGUCUGAAGUUAAAGGCUGUGGCUCAACCAUAGUUCGCUUUGGAAACUGUCAAACUUGAGUGCAGAAGGGGAGAGUGGAAUUCCAUGUGUAGCGGUGAAAUGCGUAGAUAUAUGGAGGAACACCGGUGGCGAAAGCGGCUCUCUGGUCUGUAACUGACGCUGAGGCUGAAAGCGUGGGGGAGCGAACA